CCUACGGGAGGCAGCAGUGAGGAAUAUUGGUCAAUGGACGAGAGUCUGAACCAGCCAAGUAGCGUGAAGGAUGACUGCCCUAUGGGUUGUAAACUUCUUUUAUAUGGGAAUAAAAUGUUCCACGUGUGGGAUUUUGUAUGUACCAUAUGACUAAGGAUCGGCUAACUCCGUGCCAGCAGCCGCGGUAAUACGGAGGAUCCGAGCGUUAUCCGGAUUUAUUGGGUUGAAAGGGUGCGUAGGUGGAUUGUUAAGUCAGUUGUGAAAGUUUGCGGCUCAACCGUAAAAUUGCAGUUGAAACUGGCAGUCUUGAGUACAGUAGAGGUGGGCGGAAUUCGUGGUGUAGCGGUGAAAUGCUUAGAUAUCACGAAGAACUCCGAUUGCGAAGGCAGUUCACUGGACUGCAACUGACACUGAGGCUCGAAAGUGUGGGUAUCAAACAGGAUUAGAUACCCGGGUAGUC
RNAcentral lists this ribosomal RNA (460 nucleotides) under uncultured bacterium. RNAcentral's name for it is "partial 16S ribosomal RNA". It matches the Rfam family "Bacterial small subunit ribosomal RNA", at positions 338 to 795 of the family's 1533-position model. The record is from RNAcentral.